RNAcentral lists this long non-coding RNA (1305 nucleotides) under Manihot esculenta (cassava). RNAcentral's name for it is "long non-coding RNA (MESC_LNC003251)". The record is from RNAcentral. Lineage: Eukaryota; Viridiplantae; Streptophyta; Magnoliopsida; Malpighiales; Euphorbiaceae.
CAGGAUCACCCAACCUAUCAGCUGGCAAUAUCCUUUAUUACGCAGCAAGCCACAUCAUCGCCAAAUUAUUAGAAAAUCCUAUAUUUAAUUUCUAUCUCUUUAUAGUAUAAAACAAUAUAACAUCAUAUAAAAGGAGAAAGACCUCAAAGGUAAAAGUACGUUAUUCUAUUAUACUACUCAAGUUCUAAGCAAUUCAUUAUUUUUGCAGGUCUAGUCAAUCACAGCACAAUUCUGUUUUCCGAUCGCAUCAAUUUUAAUCAAUAAAAAAUAGAUAAAUUGUAAUUUAAUUAUAACAUUUUAACAUUCUAUAAAAUUUUUAUCUCCUGCAUUACAUUAUGUGUUUGAUAAUAAAAAUGAAACUUAUAAAUAGAGAAAUUACUACUUAGUCCUUAUUGUAUGGAAAAACUCACUAAUUAGUCCCUCGAUUUUGAAAAAUUCAUUUAAACGUCCCUAACAUUUUAAAAAGUCUAUUAGUUAUUCCCUUUGUUAAUUUUUAUGUUAAAUAUUUUACUAUUAGUCUUUAUAAUUUUGAAAAACUUAUUAGUUAGUCCCUCAAAUUUUUAAAAAGUUUACUAAUUAAUCCCUCUGGACGCCUUAACACCUAGUUUGUCAUCAAGACUAGCCCUUCCCCGAAUAGAUUGAGUCUCGAUACAAAGUUAGUAUUUAUCUUUUAUUACGCAGCAGGCCACAUCAUCACCAAAUUAUUAGAAAAUCCUAUAUUUAAUUUCUAUCUCUUUAUAGUAUAAAACAAUAUAACAUUCAUAUAAAAGGAGAAGGAUCUCAAAGGUAAAGGUACGUUAUUCUAUCAUACUACUCAAGUUCUAAACAAUUCAUUAUUUUUGCAGGUCUAGUCAAUCAUAGCACAGUUCUGUUUUCCGAUCGCAUCAAUUUUAAUCAAUAAAAAAUAGAUAAAUUGUAAUUUAAUUAUAACAUUUUAACAUUCUAUAAAAUUUUUAUCUCCUGCAUUACAUUAUGUGUUUGAUAAUAAAAAUGAAACUUAUAAAUAGAGAAAUUACUACUUAGUCCUUAUUGUAUGGAAAAACUCACUAAUUAGUCCCUCGAUUUUGAAAGAUUCAUUUAAACGUCCCUAACAUUUUAAAAAGUCUAUUAGUUAUUCCCUUUGUUAAUUUUUAUGUUAAAUAUUUUACUAUUAGUCUUUAUAAUUUUGAAAAACUUAUUAGUUAGUCCUUCAAAUUUUUAAAAAGUUUACUAAUUAAUCCCUCUGUAUCAAGAGUAUUUUAGAUUUGUUUAUAAUACUUAACAACUAAAAUUAACAGAGAGAUUAAUUAGUAAAUUUUUUAAAAC